This 253-nucleotide ribosomal RNA is filed under the name uncultured bacterium. RNAcentral's name for it is "partial 16S ribosomal RNA". It matches the Rfam family "Bacterial small subunit ribosomal RNA", at positions 524 to 776 of the family's 1533-position model. The record is from RNAcentral.
UACGAAGGGUGCAAGCGUUACUCGGAAUUACUGGGCGUAAAGCGUGCGUAGGUGGUUCGUUAAGUCUGAUGUGAAAGCCCUGGGCUCAACCUGGGAAUGGCAUUGGAAACUGGCGAUCUAGAGUGCGGUAGAGGGUAGUGGAAUUCCCGGUGUAGCAGUGAAAUGCGUAGAGAUCGGGAGGAACAUCCGUGGCGAAGGCGACUACCUGGACCAGCACUGACACUGAGGCACGAAAGCGUGGGGAGCAAACAGG